RNAcentral lists this ribosomal RNA (253 nucleotides) under uncultured bacterium. RNAcentral describes it as "partial 16S ribosomal RNA". It matches the Rfam family "Bacterial small subunit ribosomal RNA", at positions 524 to 776 of the family's 1533-position model. The record is from RNAcentral.
UGCGAAGGGGGCUAGAGUUGUUCGGAAUUACUGGGCGUAAAGCGCACGUAGGCGGACUGAUAAGUCAGGGGUGAAAUCCCGGGGCUCAACCCCGGAACUGCCUUUGAUACUGUCAGCCUCGAGUUCGAGAGAGGUGAGUGGAAUUCCGAGUGUAGAGGUGAAAUUCGUAGAUAUUCGGAGGAACACCAGUGGCGAAGGCGGCUCACUGGCUCGAUACUGACGCUGAGGUGCGAAAGCGUGGGGAGCAAACAGG